AGUGCAAUGGCUGGAGAAUGCCUCAGCAUGGAGCAGCCUCAGCCGACUAAGCAGCCCACAACGGGCAUGGAAAUGCACAACGCCCCGCAUACAAUCUUCAGUGAAAACAGCCACGAGGGCUGUCAGUGCAUUACUCUGAGUCUCAAAGAAGUCACGGGGAA
Molecule: long non-coding RNA, 161 nt
Organism: Sapajus apella (tufted capuchin)
Lineage: Eukaryota; Metazoa; Chordata; Mammalia; Primates; Cebidae
Exons: 4
Source: RefSeq, a predicted model, not a curated record